This 412-nucleotide ribosomal RNA is filed under the name Modisimus vittatus. RNAcentral describes it as "partial 16S ribosomal RNA". Lineage: Eukaryota; Metazoa; Arthropoda; Arachnida; Araneae; Pholcidae. The record is from RNAcentral.
AUUUUUUUAAGAAAAUUAAUUUAAAAUAAUACCUGCUCAAUGUAAAUUAAUAAAUAGCUGCAAAAUUUUGUACUAAGGUAGCAUAAUCAUUAGCCAACUAAUUAUUGGAUAGAAUGAAUGGUUAAACGAAACAUAAUUUUUAUUUAAAACUUAAAUUAAUUUAAAUUAAAAGUAAAAAUUCUUUUAUUAAUUAGAAAGACGAUAAGACCCUAAUAAACUUUAUAUUUAGCUGGGGCGGCUAAUAAAUAAAACCUUAAUAUUAAUAAUAAAAUUCCUAAAAUAUUUAAUAAACAAGUUACUAUAGGGAUAACAGCGCAAUUUUAAUUUAAAGAUCACAUUAAAAUUAAAAAUUACGACCUCGAUGUUGAAUUAAUUUACCUUUUUAAAGUAGCCUUUAAACAAGUUAGUCUGU